This 96-nucleotide non-coding RNA is filed under the name unclassified sequences. Its description in RNAcentral is "RT-9 RNA". It matches the Rfam family "RT-9 RNA". From Rfam's summary of the family: Firmicutes. The record is from Rfam by way of RNAcentral.
GAUUGCUAAGAUUAAGGUUUUAGCAACAAGGCUUGAAUAAUUCAAGAGAGUUUAAUUCCUUCACUUAGUUUAAAAAGUGUAAACACAUAAACAAUG